GUCUUAUUGAUAAUAAUUUUAAGUCUAAUCUGCCCAGUGAUUUAUUAAAUGGCUGCAGUAUUUUAACUGUACAAAGGUAGCAUAAUAAUUAGUUUCUUAAUUAGGAACUGGAAUGAAAGAUUGAACGAGACAAUAACUGUCUUAAUAUAAAUUUAAGAAUUUUAUUUUUAAGUUAAAAAGCUUAAAUUUUUUUAAAAGACGAGAAGACCCUAUAGAAUUUUAUAUUAUUUUUAUAUUUAAAUUAUAGUAUAAGAAUUUUAAAUUUUAUUAAGAUUAUUUAGUUGGGGUGAUUGAAAAAUUUAUUUAACUUUUUUUUAUUUUUUACAUUUAUUUAUGUUUUAUUGAUCCAAUAUUUUUGAUUAUAAGAUUAAAUUACCUUAGGGAUAACAGCGUAAUUUUUUUAGAGAGUUCUUAUCGAUAAAAGAGAUUGCGACCUCGAUGUUGGAUUAAAGUUAAUUUUUGAUGUAGAAGUUAAAAUAUUAGGUCUGUUCGACCUUUAAAACUUUACAUGAUCUGAGUUUAAAUCGGCGUGAGCCAGGUUGGAUUCUAUCUUUAAAUAGUUAUUAUAUUUUAGUACGAAAGGACCAAAUAUUAUUUAUAUUAAAUUUAAGAGAAUAUUA
Molecule: ribosomal RNA, 620 nt
Filed under: Quaestus cisnerosii vasconicus
Lineage: Eukaryota; Metazoa; Arthropoda; Insecta; Coleoptera; Leiodidae
Description: partial 16S ribosomal RNA
Rfam family: Bacterial large subunit ribosomal RNA (bases 383-541)
Source: RNAcentral